RNAcentral lists this ribosomal RNA (1635 nucleotides) under Salmonella enterica. RNAcentral describes it as "partial 23S ribosomal RNA". It matches the Rfam family "Bacterial large subunit ribosomal RNA", at positions 711 to 2327 of the family's 2925-position model. The record is from RNAcentral. Lineage: Bacteria; Pseudomonadati; Pseudomonadota; Gammaproteobacteria; Enterobacterales; Enterobacteriaceae.
AGACCCGAAACCCGGUGAUCUAGCCAUGGGCAGGUUGAAGGUUGGGUAACACUAACUGGAGGACCGAACCGACUAAUGUUGAAAAAUUAGCGGAUGACCUGUGGCUGGGGGUGAAAGGCCAAUCAAACCGGGAGAUAGCUGGUUCUCCCCGAAAGCUAUUUAGGUAGCGCCUCGUGAAUUCAUCUCCGGGGGUAGAGCACUGUUUCGGCUAGGGGGCCAUCCCGGCUUACCAACCCGAUGCAAACUGCGAAUACCGGAGAAUGUUAUCACGGGAGACACACGGCGGGUGCUAACGUCCGUCGUGAAGAGGGAAACAACCCAGACCGCCAGCUAAGGUCCCAAAGUCAUGGUUAAGUGGGAAACGAUGUGGGAAGGCCCAGACAGCCAGGAUGUUGGCUUAGAAGCAGCCAUCAUUUAAAGAAAGCGUAAUAGCUCACUGGUCGAGUCGGCCUGCGCGGAAGAUGUAACGGGGCUAAACCAUGCACCGAAGCUGCGGCAGCGACACUGUGUGUUGUUGGGUAGGGGAGCGUUCUGUAAGCCUGUGAAGGUGUGUCGUGAGGCAUGCUGGAGGUAUCAGAAGUGCGAAUGCUGACAUAAGUAACGAUAAAGCGGGUGAAAAGCCCGCUCGCCGGAAGACCAAGGGUUCCUGUCCAACGUUAAUCGGGGCAGGGUGAGUCGACCCCUAAGGCGAGGCCGAAAGGCGUAGUCGAUGGGAAACGGGUUAAUAUUCCCGUACUUGGUGUUACUGCGAAGGGGGGACGGAGAAGGCUAUGUUGGCCGGGCGACGGUUGUCCCGGUUUAAGCGUGUAGGUGUGUGUUCCAGGUAAAUCCGGUUCACUUUAACACUGAGGCGUGACGACGAGGCACUACGGUGCUGAAGCAACAAAUGCCCUGCUUCCAGGAAAAGCCUCUAAGCAUCAGGUAACAUCAAAUCGUACCCCAAACCGACACAGGUGGUCAGGUAGAGAAUACCAAGGCGCUUGAGAGAACUCGGGUGAAGGAACUAGGCAAAAUGGUGCCGUAACUUCGGGAGAAGGCACGCUGACACGUAGGUGAAGUGAUUUACUCAUGGAGCUGAAGUCAGUCGAAGAUACCAGCUGGCUGCAACUGUUUAUUAAAAACACAGCACUGUGCAAACACGAAAGUGGACGUAUACGGUGUGACGCCUGCCCGGUGCCGGAAGGUUAAUUGAUGGGGUCAGCGCAAGCGAAGCUCCUGAUCGAAGCCCCGGUAAACGGCGGCCGUAACUAUAACGGUCCUAAGGUAGCGAAAUUCCUUGUCGGGUAAGUUCCGACCUGCACGAAUGGCGUAAUGAUGGCCAGGCUGUCUCCACCCGAGACUCAGUGAAAUUGAACUCGCUGUGAAGAUGCAGUGUACCCGCGGCAAGACGGAAAGACCCCGUGAACCUUUACUAUAGCUUGACACUGAACAUUGAGCCUUGAUGUGUAGGAUAGGUGGGAGGCUUUGAAGUGUGGACGCCAGUCUGCAUGGAGCCGACCUUGAAAUACCACCCUUUAAUGUUUGAUGUUCUAACGUGGACCCGUUACCCGGGUUGCGGACAGUGUCUGGUGGGUAGUUUGACUGGGGCGGUCUCCUCCUAAAGAGUAACGGAGGAGCACGAAGGUUGGCUAAUCC